This 345-nucleotide ribosomal RNA is filed under the name uncultured bacterium. Its description in RNAcentral is "bacterial SSU rRNA". It matches the Rfam family "Bacterial small subunit ribosomal RNA", at positions 22 to 356 of the family's 1533-position model. The record is from RNAcentral.
GCUCAGGACGAACGCUGGCGGCGUGCCUAAUACAUGCAAGUCGGGCGGACCGAAGGGAGCUUGCUCCUUUAGGUUAGCGGCGGACGGGUGAGUAACACGUGGGCAACCUGCCCUGCAGACUGGGAUAACUUCGGGAAACCGGAGCUAAUACCGGAUAACACCGAAAACCGCAUGGUUUUCGGUUGAAAGGCGGCUUUUAGCUGUCACUGCAGGAUGGGCCCGCGGCGCAUUAGCUAGUUGGUGAGGUAACGGCUCACCAAGGCGACGAUGCGUAGCCGACCUGAGAGGGUGACCGGCCACACUGGGACUGAGACACGGCCCAGACUCCUACGGGAGGCAGCAGUA